UACGAAGGGUGCAAACGUUGCUCGGAAUCAUUGGGCGUAAAGCGCACGUAGGCGGCCUUAUAAGUCGGAUGUGAAAUCCCUCAGCUCAACUGAGGACGUGCAUUCGAAACUGCAAGGCUCGAGUAUGGAAGAGGGUCGCAGAAUUCCCGGUGUAGAGGUGAAAUUCGUAGAUAUCGGGAGGAAUACCAGUGGCGAAGGCGGCGACCUGGGCCAAUACUGACGCUGAGGUGCGAAAGCGUGGGGAGCAAACAGG
This 253-nucleotide ribosomal RNA is filed under the name uncultured bacterium. RNAcentral describes it as "partial 16S ribosomal RNA". It matches the Rfam family "Bacterial small subunit ribosomal RNA", at positions 524 to 776 of the family's 1533-position model. The record is from RNAcentral.